CGAAUUCAUCUGAAGGAUGGAGUGCCUUCGGGAGCGUGGAGACAGGUGGUGCGAUGGUUGUCGUCAGCUCGUGUCGUGAGAUGUUGGGUUAAGUCCCGCAACGAGCGCAACCCUUGCUAUUAGUUGCUAACAGGUAGAGCUGAGCACUCUAAUGGGACUGCCGGUGACAAGCCGGAGGAAGUGGGGAUGACGUCAAAUCAUCAUGCCCUUUAUGACCUGGGCUACACACGUGCUACAGUGGAUGGUGCAGAGAGCAGCGAGGCAGCGAUGUGGAGCGAAUCUCAAAAAGCCAUUCUCAGUUCGGAUUGGAGUCUGCAACUCGACUCCAUGAAGUCGGAAUCGCUAGUAAUCGCGAAUCAGCAUGUCGCGGUGAAUGCGUUCCCGGGCCUU
Molecule: ribosomal RNA, 390 nt
Filed under: uncultured Syntrophomonas sp.
Lineage: Bacteria; Bacillati; Bacillota; Clostridia; Eubacteriales; Syntrophomonadaceae
Description: bacterial SSU rRNA
Rfam family: Bacterial small subunit ribosomal RNA
Source: RNAcentral